Molecule: non-coding RNA, 18508 nt
Organism: Callithrix jacchus (white-tufted-ear marmoset)
Lineage: Eukaryota; Metazoa; Chordata; Mammalia; Primates; Cebidae
Source: RefSeq, a predicted model, not a curated record
GAACGGGCAACUCAGCCAGCUCCACCAGGGACAGUCCCCCCCCUCAUUUCUUCAGGCUUCAUUUUCAUACCAGGAGUGGAGCAACUUGAGUAAUAAACAGUCCUCCUUCCCGACCCUUCAAGCUGACAUCCCCGGCUUGCAGUUACUACUCUAGACUGGCCUGCUACUUCAGCUACUGCAGGCAGUGAGCCUCCUAAGGCCUGGCCUCAUCCUGUCUCCCAACAGGAAUCCUUGGAAUCCUUACCCACUGGCCACUGUGCUGGUCCUCCAGGUGACACCGCCAUCUGCCCGUUGUUUCGGCCUGGCCUCAUCCUGUCUCCCAACAGGAAUCCUUGGAAUCCUUACCCACUGGCCACUGUGCUGGUCCUCCAGGUGACACCGCCAUCUGCCCGUUGUUUCGGCCUGGCCUCAUCCUGUCUCCCAACAGGAAUCCUUGGAAUCCUUACCCACUGGCCAGUGUGCUGGUCCUCCAGGUGACACCGCCAUCUGCCCGUUGUUUCGGCCUGACCUUUGGAAUCUAUGUGACUCCUUUCCUAUUCUUACAUGCUACAUGUAAUUUGUCAACAAAUCCUGCUGUCUCUACCUUAGAAAUGACAUGAGGAUCUGUGUCUCACACCUCUACUACUACAUCCUGGUGGGAGCCACCAUUGCCUCUCACCUGCAACUGGCCCACCUGGUGCACUUCUGCCCUGUUACAGCCUCUCUACACACAGCAGCCAGAAGGUUCCUUCCAAAUCAGGAGUCAGGUCAUGUUUCUCUUCUGAAGAUCCUGCAAUAUCUCCCAUUUCACUGAGUAAAAGCCUCCAUUUUACAAGGACCACCCAGCAAGUUCUCCCCGUCUAGCUAGCUCUGUCAUCUUUCUGACCUCAUCUACCCCCCACUCUUUGGCCACACUACAGAAAGCCAGAGCAAAGAAAUCAGAGGUGAUAUGAAAAGGAAGAUUUGAAAUAUGAAGGAUGGAAUGGAAUGCUUCAACUCCAGAUCUGCUUUCUUUGUUUUUUGAGACAGAGUCUCACUCUGUUACCCAGGCUGGAGUGCAGUGGCAUGAUCUCGGCUCACUGCAACAUCCACCUCCCAGGUUCAAAUGAUUCUCCUGCCUCUGCCUCCUGAGUAGCUAGGAUUAUAGAUGUGUGCUACCAUGUUUGGCUAAUUUGUUUGUAUUUUUAGUAGAGACAGAGUUUCACCAUGUUGGUCAUGCUGGUCUCGAACUCCUGACCUUGUGAUCUGCCCACCUUGGCCUCACAAAAUGCUGGAAUUACAGGUGUGAGCCACUGUGCCCAGCCUGCUUUGUUUGUUACAUGCAGCCAGAACAGCCACAGAGCCAUCAUGAGCUCUGCCCAGUGGCAUACAGGAGUGCCUGGUUUUCGGCAUCUCAGGCCCAUCUGUUUGUUUGUUGUAGUACUUUCUUUUUCAUUAGUAUUCUUUCCCAAUUUUUUCUUAAAGACAGAGUCUCGCUGUGUUACCCAGGCUGGAGUGCACUGGCAUGAUUUUGGCUCACUGCAGCCUCUCUGCCUCCUGAGCCACCGUGCCUGGCUUUUUUUUUUUUUUUUUUUUAAUUAUUCUGUUAUUUUCCAAAGACUAUAUAAAGAAACAAAUUAUCCUCAGGGUGAAAGUACCUGCUGACUCUUAAAAUGUUAACUUUAUUGCCCCCAGUCAGGUGAACCUCAGGUGGAAGUGGGUCACAUUCCAGGCUGGUUCUCAUGUGUCUUAAAUUCUUCUUUUUUUUUUGAGACAGAGUUUUGCUCUUGUUACCCAGGCUGGAGUGCAAUGGCAUGAUCUUGGCUCCUGGGUUCAGGCAAUUCUCCUGCCUCAGCCUCCUAAGUAGCUGGGAUUACAGGUGCGCGCCACCAUGCCCAGCUAAUUUUUUGUAUUUUUUUUAAAGAUACGGGGUUUCACCAUGUUGACCAGGAUGGUCUCGAUCUCUUGACCUCAUGAUCCACCCGCCUUGGCCUCCCAAAGUGCUGGGAUUACAGGCUUGAGCCACCGUGCCAUAGUGUGUCUUAAAUUCUAAAGAAUGUAGUGAAGAUAAAGAUGUCAGCUGAUAAUCCCCAGUUAUUUGCUGAUAGCAGAUAAUAAACUGGCAGGGGUAGCCCUUUUCAAAGAGCCUUGUAGCAUAAGCUGGUACCACCUCGAAAUGGUUAGCAAGUCCCAUCUCCUAGUGUCAGACAGGGAAUGACUGUGCUCCACCACUGCAUUGAUUUCCUCUAAAAGAGGCUGAGGAACUGUCAUAAAACAACAAAAACUUUUCAAAGUUUUGGUUGGGUGUGGUGGCUAAUGUCUGUAAUCCCAACCCAAGGUGGAAGGAUUGCUUGAGGGCAGUAGUUUGAGACCAGCCUGGGCAGAGGCCACUUCUCUACAAAAUUAAGCAAUUAGCUGCGCAUGGUGGCAUGCACCUAUAGUCCCAGUUACUUGGGAGGCUGAGGUGGGAGGAUUGCUUGAGCCCAGAAGGUUGGGGCUGCAGUGAGGCAUGAUUGUGCCACUCACUGCUCUCAAGCCUGUGUGACAGACCAAGACUCUGCCUCUAAAAAGAAGAAGAAAGAAAAAGAAAAUUGGCAAACAAUUAUAUUAGCAUGUGCGUGUACUUGUAUUUGGCAGGAUCACUUCAAAGUAUAUUACAGAGAUUACAACAUUUUAUCCCUUCCAACUUGAGCAUGCAUCUCCAAAAAAUAAGGAUGUUCAUCUGCAUAUUCACAAUAUUGUUAUACCUGAGAAAAGUAAAUUUAAUUCCCUAAUAUCACUUAACAUUCGCUCAGGUGCCAUGACUCACACCUAUAUCCCAGCACUUUGGAAGGCCGAGGCUGGUGGAUUGCUUGAGCCCAGGAGUUCGAGACCAGCCUGGGCAACAUGUCAAGACCUCAUGUCUUCAAACACUACAAAAAUUAGCAGGUGUGAGGCACCUGCCUGUGGUUCCAACACUCGGGAGGCUGAGGUGGGAGGAUUGCUUGAGUCUGACGGGUUAAGACUGAAGUGAACUAUGAUUGCACCACUGUACUCUAGGCUGGGUGACAGAGUAACCUUGUCUUUAAAAGAGGUGUGUUGCCAUGCGUGGUGGCUCAUGCCUGUAAUCCCAGCACUUUGGGAGGCUGAGGAGGGCAGAUCAUCUGAGGUCAGGAGUUUAAGACCAGCCUGGCCAACAUGGAGAAAACGCGUCUCUACUAAAAAUACAAACAUUAGGCAGGUGUGGUGGUGGACACCUGUAGUCCCAGCUACUUUUCAGAGGCUGAGGCAGGAGAAUCACUUGAACCCAGGAGGCAGAGGUUGCAGUGGGCCGAAAUUGCGCCACUGCUCUCCAGCCUGGUUGACAGAGUGAGACUGUCUCAAAAAAAAAAGGUGGGCCGGGCCCGGUGGCUCACGCCUGUAAUCCCAGCACUUUGGGAGGCUGAGGCACAUGGAUCAUGAGGUCAAGAGAUCAAGACCAUCCUGGUCAACCUGGUGAAACCCCGUCUCUACUAAAAAUACAAAAAUUAGCUGGGCAUGGUGGCGCGUGCCUGUAAUCCCAGCUACUCAGGAGGCUGAGGCAGGAGAAUUGCCUGAUCCCAGGAGGCAGAGGUUGCGGUGAGCUGAGAUCGCGCCAUUGCACUCCAGCCUUGGUAACGAGCGAAACUCCUUCUCAAAAAAAAAAAAAAGUGUAUGGAGGGUGGGGCUGGGGGAAGAGAAUGAGAAAGUAGAGGAAAAACAGUUUAAAAUGUGGGUUUUUCGUGAAACACAAACUCUUCAACCCUUUUUUUAACUGUAAUUAAAUAAAAAUUAUAAAAGUAUUUGACCUAAUAUGCUGUUUCUUGUUUGUUUUUGAGACAGGGUCUUGCUGUGUUGCCCAGGUUUGAGUGCAGUGGUGCGGUCUUGGCUCACUACAGCCUCCACCUCCUGGGCUCCAGGGAUCCUUCUACCUCAGCCUUCCAUGUAGCUGGGACUGCAGAUAUGAGCCACCACCCCAGCUAAUUUUUAAAUUUUUUGUAGAGAUGGGGUCUUGCCAUGUUGCUCAGGCUGGUCUCAAACUCCUGGGCUCAAGUGACCUGCCCGCCUUGGCCUUCCAAAGUACUGGGAUUAUAGGCAUAAGCCACUGCCCCUGGCCAGCCUUUUUUCACCUAAUCAUUUUAGCAUCCAUUGAUGACCUUUGCCUGAGUGAAUUGUUUCAUUGGAGUUUUCAAAAUGAUGACUAUUUUUAAUUCUUUUUUUUUUUUUUUUGAGACGGAGUUUCGCUCCUGUUACCCAGGCUAGAGUGCAAUGGCGCGAUCUCCGCUCACUGUAACCUCCGCCUCCUGGGUUCAGGCAGUUCUCCUGCCUCAGCCUCCUGAGUAGCUGGGAUUACAGGCACGCGCCACCAUGCCCAGCUAAUUUUUGUAUUUUUAGUAGAGACGGGGUUUCACCAUGUUGACCAGGAUGGUCUUGAUCUCUUGACCUCGUGAUCCACCCGCCUCGGCCUCCCAAAGUGCUGGGAUUACAGGCUUGAGCCACCGCACCCGGCCCUGACUAUUUUUAAUUUUUUGAGACAGCUUGAAUUCAGUCACACAGGCUGGAGUGCAGUAGCACAUUCCUGGCUUACUCCAGCUUCAACCUCCCAGGCUCAAUUGAUCCUCCCUCCUCAGCCUCCCAAGUAGCUUGGACUACAGGCACACACCACCACACACAGCUAAUUUUUGUAGAGAUGGGCGUUUGCCAUGUUGCCCAGGCUGGCCUUGAACUCCUGGGCUCAAGCAAUCCUCCUGCCUCAGCCUCCCAAAGUGCUAGGAUUACAUGUGUGAGCCACUGCAACCAGCCACAAGCAGAUCUUGUUUGUUUGCUUGCUUGUUUGUUUUUGAGAUGGAGUUUCGCCUUUGUCUUGAGACAGGGUUUCACCAUGUUGGUCAGGCUGGUCUCGAACUCCUGACUUCAGAUAAUCCACCCGCCUUGGCCUCCCAAAGUACUGGGAUUACAGACAUGAGCCACUGCACCCAGCAAACGUUCUUUACUAAUUUCCCUUUUUUGAUAAAAAAAUCUUUCUUCUUGAAGUAAUUGAUAACACUUUGAGUGCCAAGGUUGCCAAGGUACCAGGAAAACUCAUUUCUAGAUAAUUCUGUCAAAGUCAUUGAUCUAUAGCUGAUGUCACUUUUUAAUUUGAAAAACGAGAGAUGCAUAGUAAAAAUAUAAUAUAUAUAAGACUUACAAUACUUUGUUUUCCUCUGUUUUUUUGGGACAGAGUCUUGCUAUGUCACUCAGGCUGGUGUGCAGUGGUGUGAUCUUUGCUCACUGCAACCUCCACCUCUGGGUUCAAUUGAUUCUCCUGACUCAGCCCCCUGAGUAGUUGGGAUUAUAGGCAUGUGCCACCAACCUAGCUAAUUGUUUUUUUUUCCCCCUGAGACUGAGUCUUGCUCUAUUGCCCAGGCUGGAGCACAGUGGUGCUGUUAUACCAAAGUGCUGGGAUUACAAGGCGUAAGCCAUGGUGCCUGGCCUAAUUGUGGAAUUUUUGUAGAGACAGGGUUUCACUAUGUUGACCAGGCUGGUCUCAAACUCCUGACCUCAGGUGAUCCACCCGCCUCAGCCUCCCAAAGUGCUAAAAUUAUAGGUGUGAGCCACUGCAUCCAGACAAGGCUUAUAAUCCAAAAGAAAAUUUGUAUGCCAGAAUUAAAACAGACGACCAAAACAUAUUCCAUUGAAGAGUCAAUUAAAAAUAUCUUGAAGAAAAUUAAAACCCGGUCCUACUUUAGAGACCUGUUGUAGCCAGGAAAUUAUUAAAGAUUUAGUUCAAAUUGUAGGAGAAUAAUAAAAAGUAAAAAACAAUGAAUACGACCGGAAUUCAAUAACAGGUUGUGAAAGGAAGAUAAAUCUUGGGACCCCAAAAUCACUAAGCCAAAGGAAGAGUCAAGCUGGAAGCUACGUCAGGCAAACCUGCCUCCCAGUCCUAAAUAAGAUAGCUGAAAAGAUAAAAGAGCUACAUACCACCCGGGCACGGUGGCUCACACCUGUAAUCCCAGCACUUUGGGCAGCCGAGGCAGGUGAAUCACUUGAGGCCAAGAGUUUGAGACCAGCCUGGCCAACAUGGUGAAACGCCAUCUCUACUAAAAAUACAAAAAUUAGCCAGGUGUGGUGGCGCGCACCUGUGAUCCCAGCUAGGGAUUACUUGGGAGGCAGAGGCAGAGGCUGCAGUGAGUUGAGAUCAUGCCACUCAACUCUAGCCUGGGUGCCUCAUGCCUGUAAUCCUAGCAAUUUGGGAGCGUAAGGCAGGUAGCUCACCUAAGGUCAGGAGUUCAUGACCAGCCUGACCAAUAUGGUGAAAACCCGUCUCUAUUAAAAAUACAAAAAUUAGCUGGGCAUGGUGGUGGGCACCUGUAAUCCCAGCUAUUUGGGAGGCUGAGGAGGGAGAUCCAGCCACUGCACUCCAGCCUGGGUGACAGAGUGAAACUCUGUUUUAAAAAAAAAAAAAGUGCUCUUUUCCACUCAGGCCCGUGACGCCGGCAGGAUGGGCAAGUGUCGUGGACUUUGUACUGCUAGGAAGCUCCGAAGCCACCGAUGAAACCAGAAGUGGCAGGAUAAACAGUACAGGAAAGCCCAUUUGGGCACAGCCCUGAAGGCCAACCCUUUUGGAGGUGCUUCUCAUACAAAAGGAAUCAUGCUAGAAAAAGUAGGAGUUGAAGCCAAGCAGCCAAAUUCUGCCAUUAGGAAGUGUGUCAGGGUCCAGCUGAUCAAGAAUGGCAAUAAAAUCACAGCCUUUGUACCCAAUGAUGGUUGCUUGAACUUUAUUGAGGAAACGAAGUUCUGGUUGCUGGAUUUGGUUGCAAAGGUCAUGCUGUUGGUGAUAUUCCUAGAGUCAAAGUAGCCAGUGUCUCUCUUUUGGCCCUAUACAAAAGCAAGGAGGAAAGACCAAGGUCAGACAUUUUAAUGGUGAAAACACUGUAGUAAUAAAUUUUCAUAUGCCAAAAACCAAAAACAAAAAUAAGACAAAAAACCCACAGGGUAUACUAUAGUUUUCUUCUGAAGUAAUUUUUCUCUCUCCUGUUCUUUUUACCAAGGAUGAAUGUUACUAGGACAAAUGUACUUAUAAAGUAAGUUAUUAUACGUGGCCUGAUUAUUUGCAUAAAAUACAAGAAUUGUGAUUGGCCAUAUAGGUUGAAUUUUGCAUUAGAUUUUCAAAAGCCUCUUGAGGCUCAGAAACCAAGCCAAGUAUUUUUCUGACUGUGCCUGUCAUACCGAUACAAAUUGGGUGAAUUCCUUUCUUCUCAAGGUCACAAAAUACCUCGAGGUUUCUGUAAUCCCAGCUCUUUGGGAAGCUGAGUGGGAGAAUCACUUGAUCCUGGCAAGUUGAGUCUCCAGUGAGCUAUGAUUGCACCACUACACUUUUAGUUUGGGCAACAGAGUGAGACCUUGUCACAAUAAAAAUAAAAUAGUCGACCUCAAUUCCCCAAAACACUCUGGAAAUAUUGGAAAAUAUGUGAUUCUAGUCAAAACCAUGGUAAAAUAGUUGUAUCUAAUUGUGUACUGUUACAAAAUAAAACAGAUUCUUACCCAAAUAACUAUUUUGCCAUAAAUUAAUAGUACUCAUAGUUUCCAAAUUUUAGAGAAAUGAAGAGAAAGUCAUGUUUUUUUCUCUCUUUUUUUGACAGUGUCUUGCUCUGUUCUCCAGGCUGGAGUGACUCACUGCACCAUCCAGCUCCCUGGUUCAAGUAAUUCUCACGCCUCAGCCUCUGAGUAGCUGGGAUUACAGGCAUGCAUCACCAUGCCUGGCUAAUUUUGUAUUUUUAGUAGAGACAGGUUUUCACCAUGUUGGUCAGGCUGGUCUUGAACUCCCAGCCUCAGGUGAUCUGUCCACCUUGGCCUCCCAAAGUGCUGGAUUACAGGCUUGAGCCACCACGCCUGGACAAAAUUUAUUUAUUUUUUAUCACUAUUAUUUAUUGUUUUUGAGAAUUUCUCUUACUUUUCUGCCAGCUAAGAAAGAUGUUUUAAGAAAUACAAAAAUUAGCCAGUCGUGGUGGCUGGCACAUGUAAUCCCAGCUACUUGGGAGGCUGAGGCAGAGAAUUUCUUGAACCCAGGAGGCAGUGAGCUGAGAUCGUGCCACUGCACUCCAGCCUGGGUGACAGAGCAAGACUCUAUCUCAAAAAAAAGAAAUAUAUGCUAGGCCAGGUGUGGUGGCUCAUGCCUAUAAUCCCAUCACUUUGGGAGUCCAAGGCAGGCAGAUCACUUUGAUGUCAGGAGUUUGAGACCAGCCUGGCCAAUAUGGUAAAACCCCAUCUCAGGCAGGGCUCAGUGGCAGAAUGCUUGUAAUCCCAGCACUUUGGGAGGCUGAGGUGGGUGAAUCACCUGAAGUCAGGAGUUUGAGACCAGCCUGACCAACAUGCUGAAACCCUGUCUCUACUAAAAAUAGAAAAAAUUAACUGGGCCUGGUGGCGGGCGCCUGUAAUCCGGCUACUUGAGAGGCUGAGGCAGGAGAAUCACUUGAAUCUGAGAGGUGGAGGUUGCAGUGGGUUGAGAUAAUGCCACUGCACUCCAGUCUGGGCAACAGAGCAAGACUCUGUCUCAAUAAAAAAGAAAAAAACCCAGAAUAUCAGGAAAAGGAAGACCUGUACUUCUUUUGUGAGAAUUUGAGUCUACUGUGUGGUUUGUUGUUGUUGAAAAGAUGUCGAAGCUUUUGCUUUGAUCUUCCUUCCCAAUCCUUUUUUGGGCAAAAAUUAUUAGACAGCCAUGGAUGGGUCAUGCCUAUAAUUCUAGAACUUUGGGAGGCCGAGUGGGUGGGGAGGUAGAGGAUCACUUGACCCCAGGAGUUCAAGACCAACCUGGGCAACAUAGUGGGACCCUGUCUCUUCAAAAAUAAAAAUAUGUGCUGGGCUUGGUGGCACGCGCCUACUCAGGAGGCUGAGGUGGGAGGAUUGCUUAAACCGAGGUGGUCAAGGCUGCAGUGAGCUGUGAUCAUACUACUGCACUCCAGCCUGAGUGACAGAGUAAGCCCCUGUCUCAAAAAAAAAAAAAAAAUAUAUAUAUAUAUAUAUAUAUAUGGCCCGGUACGGUGGUUCACGCCUGUAAUCCCAGCACUUUUGGAGGACGAGGCGGGUGGAUCAUGAGGUUAAAAGAUUGAGACCAUCCUGGUCAACAUGGUGAGACCCCGUCUCUACUAAAAAUACAAAAAAUUAGCUGGGCAUGGUGGCGCGUGCCUGUAAUCCCAGCUACUUGGGAGGCUGAGGCAGGAGAAUUGCCUGAACCCAGGAGGCAGAGGUUGCAGUGAGCCGAGAUUGCGCCAUUGCACUGUAGCCUGGGUAGCAAGAGUGAAACUCCGUCUCGGGGAAAAAAAAAAAACAAAACUGACUUUUUCCUAUUCCCUUCUUGUAUUUUUUUUUUUUUGAGACAGAAUUUCUCUGUUGUUACCCAGACUGGAGUGCAAUGGCACGAUCUCGGCUCACCGCAACCUCUGCCUUCUGGGUUCGAGCAAUUCCCCAACCUCAGCCUCCCGGAUAGCUGGGACUACAGGCGCGAACCACCAUGCCCAGCUAAUUUUUUUGUAUUUUUAGUAGAGACGGGGUUUCACCUUGUUGAUCAGAUGGUCUCGAUCUCUUGACCUCGUGAUCCACCCGCCUAGGCCUCCCAAAGUGCUGGGAUUAUAGGCGUGAGCCACCGCGCCCGGCCUCCUAUUCCCUUCUUGUAAUGACUUCUGGUUGGAAAGAUUACUCUGGUCCCUGACAUUUGCUGUUCAGUCAGUGUUCGUUGUUACUAUCUCUUUCCAUUGUUUAAGGGAUAGCUGAGAAGACAGGGAGAGCCUGAGCUGGUUUUCUCCUAAACAAAGGAGCUGGGAGUGGGGAUGAAUGUGUGAAGGGAAGGAGGGCCCAUGCAAGGUAAAAGAGGGUGUUGGGGAAGGGGCUUCAUGCUAGAAUUUGGCUGCUAAUCCAGCGGGCACUCAUGAGGCUGUGAUUUGCAAAGUCCACUGUAAAAAGAAAACAAAACUUCACUACACUAAGUUUAUGCCAAGGGGGAAGUUAAACCUUGGAGACUGAGUCAUGUAGCAUGUUUGCAAUUCUGCUUCUUACAACUCUCUUCCUCAUUGCUCUUGUUCUGUAAUGAGACCUCCUUUCCAAUCACUGAUCUUUGUUGUAGAUAACUGCCUCUGUUAUUGUCCUGCACUUGACUCAACAUAUGGUACCCAAGACCCAUGACUAUUGCAUCAUUAGUAUGGAAUGUGAAAAAUAUCUUUCCCCAAGGAAAAAAAGAACACACAUUGACUAAUCAGAUCAUUGUAACUGUGCAAUAAGCCUUACUAUAGAACGAUGUUGAAACUCUGCUAAGCUUCCGUGAACUUUAUGUCUAUAUAAAUGAUCCCAAACUUCUACACUUUGGAACACAGACUUCUAUUCUUUGGAAUCUGUGCCUCUAGGUGGACCACUUCCUCAACAUUUGCACUUGGAUAAACUUCUUAAACUAGAUCCUAAGCCUGGCACAGUGGUAUAUGCCUGCAGUCCCUGCUACUCUAGGAGGCUGAGGCAGGAGGAUCCCUUGAGCCUAGGAGUCUGAAUCUAACCUGGGCAACAUAGAAAUACUCCAUCUCUAAAACAAAGAUAACAACACUAGAUUCUGGCCCUUUUUUUUCCCCUUUGAGAUGGAGUCUUACUCUGUCACCCAGGCUGGAGCACAGUGGUGUGAUCUUGCCUCACUGCAACCUCAGCCUCCCAAGUUGAAGCAAUUCUCCUGCCUCAGUCUCUUGAGUUGCUGAGGCUACAUGUGUGGGCCACCACAUGCAGCUAAUUUUUUUAUUUUUAGUAGAGACAGGGUUUCACCAUUUGACCAGGCUGGUCUUGAACUCCUGAGCUCAGGUGAUCCACUUGCUUUGGCUUCCCAACGUGCUGUGAUUACAGGCAUGAGCCACCUCGUCCAGUCUAGAUUCUGAUCUUUUUAAUUAUUAUAUUUUAGAUUGACACCACUUGCCCUGAUUUGUUAUUUUAUUUUUUUUUUGAGGCAGAAUCUCACUUUGUUGCCCAGGCUGGAGUGUAUUGGCGUGAUCUCGGCUCACUGAAACCUCUGCCUCCCAGAUUCAAGCGGUUCUCCUACUUCAGCCUCUCAAGUAGCUGGGAUUACAACCACCUGCCAACAGUCUCGGCUAAAUUUUUGUAUUUUUAGUAAAGACAGUGUCUCACCAUGUUGGCCAGGCUGGUCUCAAACUCCUGACCUCAAGUGAUCUGCCCACUUCAGCCUCCCAAAGUGGUAGGAUUAUAGGUGUGAGCCUCCACACCCAGGCAACUUGACCCAAUUUUUAAACAACUAAUUAUUUUUAAAAAAUACUUUCAGGCUGGGUGCGGUGGCUCACACCUGUAAUCCCAGCACUUAGGCUGAGGUGGGUGGAUCACGAGGUCUAGAGAUGGAGACUAUCCUGGCCAACAUGGUGAAACCCAUGUCUACUAGAAAUACAAAAAUUAACUGGGUGUGCUGGUGCGUGCCUGUAGUCCUAGCUACUCAGGAGGCUGAGGCAGGAGAAUCAUGUGAAACUGGGAGGCAGAGGUUGCAGUGAGGUGAGAUCAUGCCACUGCACUCCAGCCUGGGUGACACAGCAAGAUUCCAUCUCAAAAAAAGAAAAAGAAAAAGAAAAAAAAUUUCCUCACAGAGUAGGGCUAACGCAUAGGCAGCAUGCCCAGAGUCAGCCCACUUUGUCCCAUUGGUACAAACAAGCUGUUUCCUUUUUCAGUCUCCUGCCACUUCUCUCAAUCUCUGUGUAUUUAAAGAAAAAAAAAAAGCUGGGGAAAAAAGGUUCUUCAACUCAUUCUGCAAUCUUGAUGUACAUAUCAUUCAUUUUAGCUGGACACUAGCACUGGUUUAAAAGUUCUGACUUUGGGAUGCCGAGGCGGGUAGAUCACGAGAUCAAGAGAUCGAGACCAUCCUAGUUAACAGGAGCGAAACUCUGUAUCAAAAAAAAAAAAAGUUCUGACCCUGCUUUUCAAACUUGAACGUAUUACAAAUCACCUGGAAGGCAUGUUAAGGUCUGGUGGCCGCAGCCCCAGAGCUUCUGAUCCCAUGGGUCUAUGAAGAGUGAAAGAGGGAAAGGUUAAGAUUUUUUUUUGAAGGUUUUUUGUUUUGGUUUUGUUUUUUUUUUGAGAUGGAGUUUCGCUGUUGUUACCCAGGCUGGAGUGCAAUGGCACGAUCUCGGCUCACCGCAACCUCCGCCUCCUGGGUUCAAGCAAUUCUCCUGCCUCAGCCUCCCAAGUAGCUGGGAUUACAGGCGCGCACCACCAUGCCCAGCUAAUUUUUGUAUUUUUAGCAGAGACGGGGUUUCACCUUGUUGACCAGGAUGGUCUCGAUCUCUUGACCUCGUGAUCCACCCGCCUCGGCCUCCCAAAGUGCUGGAAUUAUAGGCAUGAGCCACGGCGCCUGGGCUUGGUUUUGUUUUUUGGAGAUGAUGUCUCUGUCACUUAGGUUGGCGUGCAGUGGUACAAUCAUAGCUCACCACUGCUUCGAACUCCUAGGCUCAAAGUAAUCAAACCAUUAUCCCACGUAGCUAGGACUAUAGGUGUGCAUUACCAUGCCUGGCUAAUUUUUUUUUUCCCAUGCCUGCCCACCUGGCCAAUUUUUAAAUUUUCUUUUUGAGACGGAGUCUCACUCUCACCCAGGCUGGAGUGCAGUGGUGUGAUCUCGGCUCACUGCAACCUCCGCUUCCUGGGUUCAAGUGAGUCUCCUGCCUCAGCCUCCCAAGUACCUGGGACUACAGGAGCGUGCCACCACACCCAGCUAAUUUUGUGUAUUUUUAGUAGAGAUGGGGUUUCACCAUGUUAGCCAGGAUGGUCUCAAUCUCCUGACCUCAUGAUCUGCCCGCCUCGGCCUCCCAAAGUGCUGGGAUUACAGGUGUGAGCCACCAUGUCCAGCCUAAUUUUAAAAUUUUAAAAUUUAAAAUUUUUAAAUUUUUUAGACAAGGGGUCUCGCUAUGUUGCCCAGGCUGCCCUUGAAUUUGAUCAUCCUGCCUCUGUCUCCCGAAGUGCUAGGAUUACAGAUCUGAACCAUCACACCUCACCAGGAAGGUGGUGUCUCUCUCUCAAGCCUCCUGCUACUUCUAUUUCUACCAGGCAGUGGUUCUGAGAUGGGAGACCCCCUUGCGUCCUUCAAUUUCACCUCCUCCCUCUCCUUCCCCCUUCCAGAUGGGAAGGAGGGUGAAGAAGAAAAAAAAAUGAAAGAGAAUACUGAAGAGCUGGGAAAAUGAUUCCCUUUUUGGUUCCCAGUGUCUCUGCUCUCAGUUAACCUUGAAAGAGCUGCAAAUCAAUGUUAUCCCUGCCAGCUGGAGCCCGGCACUGGUUCACACCCCCAUGUCUCCAUGGACCAGGCUCCCUCCUGGAAACACCUCUGCCAACAGACAGCUUGUUGCUUUUGUCUUGUCUCUGUAAGCCCCCUCCCCUGACAGUCCCCACUCAAGCUGCAUAUGAAUUAGCAAAUCAAUGAAGCCAAGAGAUUGUAAGGUUGGACAUGCAGCAAAUGGACAGACAUAGUUUUGCCUCAGUUUGCCCUUUAGCAUUGUAAGCCUAUAAAAGGGGAGAGAAGCGGCUGCUUGGGGAGCUCAGUGAAUAAGGCUGUAGUCCCCGCAGCUCCUGGCUGAAGAAAAAUCCACUUCCUUCCUCAGUUUGGUGUUCGAGAAGUUUGUUCCCUGAUGCUCCUGCUUCAGGUCAUGGAUCAGACAUUCAGAGUGUCAUUUCCUCUCUGUAUUCCACUAUUUCUGGUAAAUAAAAUUGUCAGCAAAACUUUGUAAGAUGUGCAGUGUUCAUUUAUUUAGAGACAAGAGUCUCACUCUGUUACCCAGGCUUAUGCAUCGAUCAUUGCUUAUGCAGCCUCUAACUCCUGGGCUCAAGUGGUCCUCCUGUCUCAGCUUCCUGAGUAGUGUGGACUACAGGCAUACACCACCAUGCUCAGUUAGUUUUAUUUUUUUAUGGAGAUGGCGUCUCACUAUGUUGCCCAGGCUGAUCUCAAACUCCUGGCCUCAAGUGAUCCUCCCGCCUCAGUCUCCCAAAAUACUGAGAUUAUAGACAUGAGCCACUGAACCCGGUGACAGUUUUUAGUGGUAUUAGACAUGCAGCUGACAUCCUAAUUGCUGCAGAUGCUGUAUUCUCUUCUUCCUUGCUUCACCUCUGUUUACUGCUCUGCAUUAGAAAGGCCAACCCCACAACCACAGUACCUAUAUUGCUCUACCCCUGCUUCCCACAGGCCCUCUGUAUGUGUGUCCCAUGAAGAAACUAUGUGGUUUCCAAGGGAAAGUAUUAUAUCAGUUUACUCUCAAAACUGCUAAUUAAAGGGGAAAACUAAGCAUUUAUCCUGCCUUUCCCAUAUAAAUCACGUUUUGGGGUAAUCAGGGUAACCAAAUAGCCUUGAUGAAUUUUAUUUUAUUUUUGAGAUAGAGUCUUGCUCUGUCACCCAGGCUGGAGUGCAGUGGUGUGAUCUCAGCUCCCUGCAACCUCUGCCUCCCUGGCUCUAGUGAUUCUUGUGCCUCAGCCUCCUGAGUAGCUGGGGCUACAGGCAUGUACCACCAUGCUCAGCUAACUUUUGUAUUUUUUUUUUUUUUGAGAUGGAGUCUUGCUCUGUCACCCAGGUUGGAGUGCAAUGGGGCCAUCUUGGCUCACUGCAACCUUCCGCCUCCUGGGUUCAAGUGAUUAUCCUGCCUCAGCCUCCUGAGUAGCUAGGAUUACAGGUGUCCACCACCAUGCCUGGCUAAUUUUUUGUAUUUUUAGUAGAGACAAGGUUUCAGCAUGUUGGCCAGCCUGGUGUUGAACUCCUGAGCUCAGGUGAUCCACACACCUCAGGCUCCCAAAGUGCUGGGAUUAUAGGCAUAAGCCACUGUGCCUGACCUAAUUUUUGUAUUUUUUAGUAGCUAUGAGGUUUUGCCAUAUUAGCCAGGCUGGUCUCAGACUCCUUAGCUCAGAUGAUCUGCCAUCUAGGCCUCCCAAAGUGCUAGGAUUACAGUCAUGAGCCACCGCACCCAGCUGAUGAGCUUUUUACUGAGGAAUUCCAACUAAUAAAUGAAGAAAUAACAGAAUUUCAAAAUCACCUUUUUGCAACCCCUCAUGAAAUAACUGAAUCAGACAAAACUCAUCUGUGUAUCAAACUGUCAGUUGAAAGGUUGAUGUGCAGGUGUGGUGGCUCACGCCUGUAAUCCCAGCACUUUGGGAGGCUGAGGCAAGUGGAUCAUCUGAGGUCAGGAGUUCAAGACCAGCCUGGCCAACAUGGUGAAACCCCAUCUCUACUAAAAAUACAAAAAUUAGCCAGGCAUGGUGCUGUGUGCCUGUAAUCCCAGCUACUCAGGAGGCUGAGGCAGGAGAAUCACUUGAACCUGGGAGGCGGAGGUUGCAGUGAGCUGAGAUCGCACCACUGCACUAGAGCCUAAGUGACAGAGCGAGACUCCAAUCUCAAAAAAAAGGAAGGUUGAUGGGGAAACUCCCGAGAGAGGAAAUUUCCAGGAGAGUCAGGCUAUGAACCCACUUCUCAAUCACAGCUUAACUCAGAGGGACAAGCAGUGCAGGUACAAUAGGAAGCACUUAGGAAGGACUCUUGCUCCUCCAAAAUGGAAUCUGAAUCCAAUCAAAUCUUCAGAGGUUUAAUAACUGAAAAUACAAGGGAUGAAGGAAGAAAUUAAAUGACACUGACAAAGCAAACUGACAAAUCGGGAGAGUGGGACGUUCUACAGGACAAAUAACCCUGUUUCUGGACUACUGUAGAUAAGUGAUUUAAGAGACAUCAAAGUGCAAUGUGAGCCAAGUGUGGUGGUACAUGCCCAGGAGUUAGAGACCAGCCUGGACAACAGUGAGACCCUGUCUCUACAACAAGAAAAAUAAAAGCCAAUGUAUAGAUUCUCUUUGGAUCCUGAUUCAAACAAAUCAGCUAUAAAUAUUUUUGAGACAUUUGAUGUAAUUUGGAUAAUGACAGUAUUAUAAGAUGACACAGAGGUAUUGUUAAUUUUUUGGGGUCUGCAUUGGCAUUAUGGUUAUAUAACCAAAAGUUCAUUUUGUUGUUAUUAUUUUUGUGAGUCAGAAUCUCCCUCUGUUGCCCAGGCUGGAGUACAAUGGCGCUAUCUUGGCUUACUGCAACCUCCACCUCCUGGGUUCAAGUGAUUCUCCUGCCUCAGCCUCCCAAGUAGCUGGGAUUACGUAUGCACACCACUACUCCUAAUUUUUGUAUUUUUAGUAGAGACAGGGUUUCACCAUGUUUGUCAGGCUGGUCUCAAACUCCUGAUCUUGUGAUCCGUCCACCUCGGCCUCCCAGAGUGCUGGGAUUACUGGUGUAAGCCACUGUGCCUGGCCUCAUUUUACUAUUUUACUUUAUUUUGAGAUGGAGUCUCACUCUGUGUCCAGGCUGGAGUACAGUGGCACCAUCUUGGCUCACUGCAGCCUCUGCCUUCUGGGUUCAUGCGAUUCUCCUGUCUCAUCCUCCUGAGUUGCUGGGAUUACAGGUGCCCGCCACCAUGCCCUGCUAUUUUUUGGUAGAGAUGGAGUUUUGCCAUGUUGGCCAGGCUGGUCUCAAACUCCUCACCUCAGGUGAUCCACCUGCCUCAGCCUCCCAAAGUGCUGGGAUUAUAGGCAUGAGCCGCUGCACCCGGCCAAAAGUUCAUUUUAAAGAAUGAGAUGCAUACUUAAUAAUGUAGGGGAAAAUGUCAUGAGGUCUGGGAUUUUCUUUUUUUUUCUGAGACAGAGUCUGGCUCUGUGCCAGGCUGGAGUGCAGUAGUACGAUCUCAGCUCACUGCAACCUCCGUCUCCCAGGUUCAAGUGAUUCCCUGCCUCAGCCUCCUGAAUAGCUAGGACUAUAGGCGCACCACCAUACCCGACUAUUUUUGUUUGUUUGUUUGUUUUUUUUGUAUUUUAGUAGAGAUGGGAUCUCACCAUGACCAGGAUGGUCUUGAUCUCCUGACCUUGCACUUCGCCCACCUUGGCCUCCCAAAGUGCUGGGAUUACAGGUGUGAGCCACUAUGCCCCGCCCUGGAAUUUGCUUUAAAAUACUUCAGCAAAAGAAAGGAAAAGAAAAAAGGAACAGAAGCAAAUGUGCCAACACCUUGAUAACUGCUGGAACUGGACGUUGGGUACAUGGGGUUCACUAAACUAUUUUCUCUACUUUUGUGUGGUUUUACAAAUGUCUCUAAAUAAAAAAAAUUACAUAUUACAUUACUGAUCACAAAUUCUGGAUAAAAUAUCACAAAAUUUAUGCCAUGCCUUGACAUAUUCUACUACUUGCAUCAGAUAGAAUAAAUUACCAAAACAUUCUUAGAGAAGCAAUUGAAAGUAAAACAAAUCUCUAACUGCAAAUGAAUGUGGCCCUCAGCCCACAGUCUUUAACAGGCUGGAGUGCAGUGGUGCGAUCUCAGCUCAUUACAACCUCUGCCUCCCGGUUUCAAGCAAUUCUCCUGCCUCAGCCUCCCAAAUAAAUGGGAUUACAGGCACCUGCCACCACGCCUGGCUAAUUUUUAUAUUUUUAGUAGAGAUGGGGUUUCAUUAUGUUGGCCAGGCUGGUCUGGAACUCCUGACCUCGUGAUCCACCUGCCUUGGCCUCUCAAAGUGCUGGGAUUACAGGUAUGAGCCAGCAUGCCCAGCCCCUUUUAAAUUUCUUAACAUCUCAUCUAGGCACUGGAUUUUCCUAACACGUGGAGGAAAGCAAGGGCUCUCUCACUCACCUAAGGCUGCCCAGAGUCUUUUCAUAAGCAUCUGCCUGAGGAGUAUUUUCUUAUAUAAUCUGCCAUAGGAAGUGUUCACUUCCCUGUCAGGCCAGCUGGGACAGGAUUCUUAUCUGCAUUUCACACACUUGUACCCUAUUUCAUGGAGAAUAGUAUCCUAACCUAUGUUAGAAAUAUAAAAGAGUGGCUGGGUGCGGUGGCUCACGCCUGUAAUCCUAGCACUUUGGGAGGCCGAGGUGGGUGGAUCACCUGAGGUCAGGAGUUCAAGACCAACCUGGCCAUCAUGGUGAAACCCCAUCUUAAAAAGAAAAAAAAAAAUUAAGAAAAAAAAAGGAAAAAAAAAAUAUAUAAAACAGUGUGGGUUUUAAAAUACCUUACAGGCUGGGUGUGGUGGCUCAAGCCUAUAAUUCCAGCACUUGGAGAGAACAAGGCAGGCAGAUUGCUUGAGCUCAGGACUCUGAGAACAGCCUAUGCAAUAUAGUGAAACUUUGUACUAAAAAUUUAAAAAAUCAGCUGGGCAUGGUGGCACACCCUACGUGGUAGGCUGAGGUGGGAGGAUCACCAGGAGAUUGAAGCUACAGUGAGCUGUGAUAGCACCACUGCACUCCAGCCAGGGUGACAGCGUGAGACCUUAUCUCAAAAACAAAAACAAUCUUAUGGCGCUCCCUUCAAACUCAUUACACCUAGGAAGAUCAGCCUGUUUCUCUGUGAUAAGAAGGACUGUGGCCAGGCAUGGCAGCUCAUAGCUGUAACCUCAGCACUUUGGGAAGCUGAAGCAAGAGGACUGCUUAAGUGCAGGAGUUCCAUUCUAGCCUGGCAACAUAGCACAACCUUGCCUCUAUUAAAAAUAAAAUUAAAAAAAAUUAACCAGGCAUUGUGUCAUGAACCUGUAGUCCCAGAUACUAUGGAGGCUGAUAUCCGAGGAUCACUUG